This is a long non-coding RNA of Mus musculus (house mouse), 10441 nucleotides long. RefSeq annotates it as predicted gene, 53815. Lineage: Eukaryota; Metazoa; Chordata; Mammalia; Rodentia; Muridae. The record is from RefSeq and is a predicted model, not a curated record. The transcript has 3 exons.
CCUCUCGCUUCUCCCACUCCCCUCAAUGGGCCAUUUGUGGGAUUAACAAGGACUGGGAGACACAUUGCCCAUCUCCUCCGAGGCCCUGACAGCUGCAGAAUUCUUCAGGAACUCCUCGGGGCCCCCCGCACAUCCUUGCAAAGAGGCUAAAGGGAGGGAAGCUGGAUUCUGAAAGGGGUCUCCAGGGGCCUGCUAGAUGAGAGGGGGGGAAAAACACUCCCCAGUUUGCUCCUUCAUUCCAGGCCUUUCCUCCACCUCCUGAAGGAGCCACUCUUCAUCCUAAAAGCGUUUGGUUUCCUGUCUUCUCCCAGCUCAGUCACUCUGCUUGCCACCUCCGCAGCUGAGACAAGAGAGAGGAGGGAUCCAUCUCCCUCCAACGCCGAGGUCACGGCUGUUGAGCCAUAGCCAAGUAUUUGUCUUCAUUUUCUACCUCUUCUGCAGCGAUAAAAUGGAACCAGAAAGGGCCCACGUGCCCACUGACACAGAAGAACAACGGGCAGGGUUGUACCACUUCUGCUGUGCUCUGCAGGGGUAAUUCCUGUGAAUUCCUGUCGCCCACAGGAACCAGACCAACAGUGUCCAUCGCAGACACAGAUCUUGUGGCAGAUGGAAUCUGUAAGAGACAGUACAGUCUACAUCUAUCUGUAAAGCUGAGGAACUCGAAGGUGGCUCAGUUAAUAGUAUGCUUGCCAUAAAAGCAUGUGGACCUGCACUUCAGCCCCAGUAGCUGCAGAAAGUCUAAGAGCAGCAGCACGUGCCUCCAAUCCCAGCACUGGGGAGGUGGAGACAAGACGAUCUCAGCAGCUCACUGGGCAGCCAACCGAGCUAAAAUCAGUUCCAGGUUCAGAGAGAGACUUUGCCUCAAGAAGUGAGGAAGAAGGGUGGAAAUGACUGAGGAAGACCCCAGACAUCAACUCUGGCCACACACACAGUUCUGCACCUGUACGACCACCCAAGGCACACAGCUAAGAGACAGGCACGAGCAGCCCUUUUGAGUAACCAGCUAAUCAAAGGGCUAUACUAGCAGCCUGAAUCUUCACCUAGAAAUCACAGCAGCGACCACAGGGAUAGAAGAAGAAGCCAUUCAGCUUUUAUAAAUGCUGCUGUUUCCCAAUCAAACUAAACCAGAACCGAGGCUGAAGAUGGAUUUCAGCGUUUUCACGUCACCAGUUUCUCAAUAGACCAUUUCCUGUCCUCCUGCAGAGCUGAGUUCUCAAGAGUGAGCUCUGCUCCCCCACACAGUUUCAAGGCAUUGCUGACAGUCACCAAGACAAAACUUUGUAUAGCAUAUCUAUAAAUGUGCAUCACAAGCCCUCAUCUUCUGUGUAUAUGUGUGACCAUAGCUUCAAAUAAACAGUUCAAAAAUAAAGUGAAAAUAAUAGAAGAAAGGGGGAGGGAUAAGAGAGAGAUUUAGUUUUACCAUGGUUAUGGGUGGAGAGGCAGAAUUUUAAAAAGCACAAUGAAAAUAAGGAGAAAAACAAACAAAAACACGUGCACAAACAUAAGCUGUAGAAUCUGCCUUAGACAAAAAAACAUCUUUCCAUUUUUCAGAGAGGGAGGUUGGCCCCCAGGGAGAUUUAUUUAUUUUAUAUACAUGGCUGUGUGUGUCCCUGCAUGAGAUUAUGUGCGUCAUGUGUAAUCAGAUGCCCUGAAACUGGAGUGACAGGCUGUUGUGAGACAUCUGAUAGGGGUGCUGGGAACCAAACCCGGGUACUCUGCAAGAACAUUAAAUGCUUGUGACCCAUUGCUCUAGCCCCUAACAGAAGUGUCAUCUAAGAAUCUGAAGAUGAGAUCUUUUUAGUGUUCCCUGUGUGUGUGUGUGUGUGUGUGUGUGUGUGUGUGUGUGUGAGAGAGAGAGAGAGAGAGAGAGAGAGAGAGAGAGAGAGAGAGAGAGAGAACUGACUGACUCUAAAUACUAUACUCUAAGCAUCCCACUGCAUGGAUACUGGAAUUAAGGUUUAAAGAAAUGAAGCCAUACAGUUAUGAGUGAAACUAACUCCAUGUGUAUUUCUCCUCUAGAGAGAGAGAUGGCUUUGGCCCUUUUCGGUCUUGUUCAUCCCUUUGCUCCUUGACAUAAGCAAUUGUUUUUUGUUUUUUGUUUUUUGUUUUUUCUUAUACGAGUGACUGCAUCAGUACAGGCUCUUAUCUCUUUAAGAAAACAGCACUCCUCUUGGAAAUAAGUAACUCAGCAGUAGAGCUCAGUGCAGCAUGCACUCAACCACCCUUGUCACAUCCAAGCAGUUUCAAAUGUCUCUCUGUGUCACCAACCUUGAAGGGUAAAUUAACUAUCAUCCCCAGCGGCUCCCAUGUUCCACUGUGGAAAUAGAUUUAGAUAAACACUAAAUUAGGGUACUGAAAGAUUUCAAUAAAAAAAUAAAAUUCUAUUCAGGCUUACAAGGGUUACUUCAAUCUCCUGUUUUUAAAGACAAAUUUUCAGGGCCAUUUGUUUCAUUUAUUUAAUAGGUGGACAAAUAACGCCAGCAUGCGCCUAGAACUUUCUAGAUGCCGAAACUAUUACAGAGAGGGUUCUUGCCUUCUUAAAUCUGGUACUGAGGAAAAUGGCAGACUUCGGACAUAUAAAGACAAAUGUCAGAUGUUGACAGGUACCACGGAGAUGGCACACAUGGGGAGAUGAGGAAGUGGGCUCCAGGCUGGAGAAGAGAAGGGUGGUCACUGUACAGUGUGCAGAAGAUGGCCUUACUAAUUAACAGGUGGCAAGAAAGGAGGGGCCAGCUCUGCGCAGAUCAGGAGUUAGCUGUUUCCAACGUUUGAGCAAGCACAAAAGCCAAAAGCAGAGGUGGCAUAGUCUUGGGACAACACAAGGAACAGCUCAUCUAGUUUCUUGCUAUUGGACCUGUUGUAACCCUUGAAUUACUGAAACUAGAGAGACUUCAGUGCUGUGUACAGACAGUUUGCCUCUGCGUCCCCCACCCCCACCCCCACCUGAAGUUCUCAUCUUCCCUCCAGCCCAUGGCAAGCACCAUAUGCAGAGAGUUGGUUUCUGUGCUGCGUCCUCCUGCAGCAAACCCAGGGCUCCCUCCUUCUUCCCUGGCUGCUCCCCUAGUGUUACAAUGGCACUACCCAUAAAACUCCCCCUUAAUAAAGACAUUCUAAGAAACAGCUCGAAACAUCCUCCCCAACUUGGUGUCUCCAAAAACCAACCCUCCUCCUGAUAAGCAGCAGAACUCUCCAGAUGCCUGUCCUUGGGACCUUAGAGAAAUAACAAGUUCAAGGGAGACUAGGGCCUAGCAUUUAAAUCAUGGAGAAAAGGUGAUCAGAGGUCAGAACAAUUACUACUAGCCAUGAAAUUAGUCCCUGAACAGACACACCCAUUAACCCCCACUCCUGCUUCAGUGCCAUUCCACCAAAUGAUUACAGCCCUCUGCUCCCCUUUUCUGUGAACAUUCACGGGAUUCCUAACUAUACUGUAUAUAAAUCCAGUGCUUUCUGGACUCAGGGUCACUUGCCAGCAUUCACACAGUGAGUGUGAGGCAGGUGAUCCGAAUUUGAACUUGAAACAAUAAAAAUACUCUUUUGCGAGUUGCAGCGGACUUCACAAUUCUUGGGCUCAUCUGGGUUUCCCGUGGACUUGGGGCACAACAGAAGGUAUAGAGUAAAAGAGAACCCACUUAAACCAGUGGUUCUCAACCUUUCUAAUGCUGUGACCCUUUAAUACAGUGCCUCAUGUUGUGGUGAUCCCCGGACCAUAAAAUUAUCUAGUUGCUUAGUUGCUUCUUCAUAACUGUAGCUUUGCUACUGUUACGAAUCGUACUGGAAAUAUUUGUGGAGAUGAAAGGUUGCCGUAGGGGUUGCGACCUACAGGUUGAGAACCGCUGGCUUAGACUGGUGCAUUUAGACGCAGUUGCACUGUACUGUUGACCUGUUGUAGUCAUAUAAUGAUGGUGAUGAUGGUGGCUUGAAGGGGAGUGAGGUGGACUGUUGAGAGUAUCAGCAGAAUUGGUGAGAAGCUAUUAGAUUUCCUGCAGGUAGGACCAACUGGAUUUUCCUGUGGGUUGGCUAUAGAGUAUGGGGAAAAGAAUCAAAGAUGAAGUCAAAGCUUUCCAUGAGCGCAUCUUGGGUUGAAUUGCCAUUUGCAAGAAUGAUAAAGGCCGGGGGAGGGGGAUUUGGAUUUCAGGAGAUUAUGAUCAUGAGUUUAGUCCUAAAUGUACCUCUUAGAUAUCCAACUAAUAAAAUUGGUUGACAUAAUUAGCAGACUGUCCUAUUAGAGGUGUAUCUCAAGGUUGCAGUUGAAUACACAAAGAAGAUUUAUUUCCAGCCUGGAGACAUGAAUUUUGGUAUCAUUAACAUGCAGAUAAUAGUGAAAGGGAUGAGAGUGGAUGACAUCGCCUACUGAGAGUAGACAGAAAGGAAAAUGCAGGGUCCUAGGACACUUCGAUGCUUAGGGGUCAUUAAGAUAAGGAGGAACAGGCAAAAAGGUAGAUGAAGAUCCCAGAGCGGAAGAUAAAGUUUGGCGGCCUGUAUUCCCAGUAGGCCAUGACCCACACUGAUUCCAAAGACAGGUUAAACUCUAAUGGAACGAAGAAGACACAGGAGGCUAAAUUUGCUUUUCCCCCUUAUGGUUCAGCCUGCCUAGAGUAAUUUAGAGUAUAUUUUCUUGUUCAAUUUUCAUUGUAUAUAUUCAUCAUAUAUGGUACUAUGCUAUGUGAGAACAUUUUCAUACAAGUAUAUAUUAUACAAUGAACAUAUUCCUGUAAUGUCCCCUCCUCUCUGCAUCUUCUCCCUCUGUCUCACAUUACUUCCCUUUGUUCCCCCAGAUACUUUCACUUCUGCUUUUGUGUCAUAUGUACAUACAUGAUGUUCUGUAACUAUAUAAAAUCUAGGGCUCACAAGUGAGAAGAAACGUGGUGUUUGUCUCAAUUCACUUAAUCUGAUUGCCUCAGGUUCAUUCAUUUCCUGCACACCAUACAACAUCAUUCAUUUUUAUGGCUAACCAAUCUCUAGUGUGUAUAUAGAACAUGUUUUCAUUCCUUUUUUUCCUUUUAGAAUGCAGUUAGGAAUGAUGCUAGUUUAGUAAAGUAGAACUUGUAGGUUCGUCUCCAAGAUCCAUGACUUCAGCCACCUUGACGAGUGGGCUAGAUUUCCAAUGCCCGACAUGAUUUCUCUCCUGUUGAGAAGUAGAUCACAUUUUCUUUUUCUGUUCCUUGGUUAGCUUAGCUGCUAGGAUAAUGCUUCAGCAAACAUUGAUGUGUAAACAUCUUUGCUAUGUUGACUUGAUGUCUUUUGAGUAAAGACCCAGGAGUAUUAUUGCUGGGUCAUACGGUAGAUCGAGUUUUAGGUUUUUGAGAAACAGAUACUCGUGAUCACCUUGCUAGAAUUUUAUGUACAUGGUCUAAGGAGCUCACACCACCACAGUAGUUAUGCAAUUAUCUCUAUUUUACAAAUACAGAGACAUAGUUUAGUGACUUCCCCACUGUGACAUAUCUAAGUGUGGCAAAGGAGAGAUAGCCCGGAACAGCUAACCUUUGGCAUGUACUAUACAGUUUUCCCUUUCCAUUAUAUCAGAACAGUAUAUAGACUUUCAGAUCUCCCAGGGUACACCCAUUCCAACAUAACGUAUGAAAAGGGAAGCUUACAGUUGGCAAUAUAAACCUUGAAUGCGCUGGUGAAAAAGAAAAUGGAUUCAUGAACAGACUCAGAGUUAUGCUUUCAAGUUCAAAUGCAAUUGAGUAAGAAACUAAACACAAGAUAAGAGUGGUCAGAUGACUCAAAGAGCAAGCUUUAUCAUCCCAGCACAGUUGAAGAGGACGCAGUACAACAUUGUAAGAAGAACCAUUAAAAUAUGACUAUUAUCGUGUCUUUAUCAUUCCCAUAGCAACCUAGUAUUCCCUGCCAAAAAAAUAACUCAGUAGGCACCAAGAAUUUUCAGCUACUCUUUUAGCACCAAACCCUUCCCACAGCCAUUUGUAUUAACAUUUGCAAAAGAUUUAUUUCCCUUUGAUUCAAAUAAUUCCACAUUCCCAAGAAUAUCUGGACUGGAGCAUGUCCAACUGCCCGCAGGGUCUGCAGCCGUCGCCUCUGUCCUGGGUAGCUCGCUCAGUGCCCAUGAAUAGCUCAUUGUUGAAGACAAACCCACUGCAGAGAACAGAGGAAACACAGAAGAAGAGUCAGUGCCAUGAUCUGGAGACCAGUCUGGACUUCCAGCAAUGAAGCUGGCAGCAGCAGCAAGCACCCCAGCCUGUUGUGAAUUGGGGUGACCAGUGCUUCCCAGAUCAAGGCUCCCUGAAGGUAUUCCCCACUUCAGAAUCCACCAGCAACUUACCUCCAGACAUACUGAACCUAGAUCCUUCUGUAUAACCAAAAAGAAAACAAUAUAGGCUGAAACUCAAACUGAAAAAUCAACCUCAAGCAUUUGUAUCAGGAUCAAACACGGGUGCUAUAGAAAAAUACAAGAUCGCUUUCAAGUAGUCUGCAUGGCUUAACAACUGGCCAAAAAUUUAAGAAGGGUUCUCACUUGAUGAAGACUGAACUCUCAAAUCUGCUCUGAUGUUUGCUACUGACUUUCUACAAAUAUUCUGUUUAUCCACUCAGGCUAAUCAGCACAUCAGAGAAUGAACUAAGUGCCCACUUCAAAUCAAGGGUUAAAAAGAAUUAUACCUUUUAGCUAUUUGAGGGUGGUCAAAGAAACUCAUAAGUUGUUUCGGUGAUUGAACCAAACUCAGUUGCAGAGUUAAUCAAAUGUGGCAUAAUGCAGUCUUUUGACAUAGGGAUCAUAUUUGCCAUCUCAGACAUGUACUGGUCUACAAUUAAUGCCUGAUGAGUAUAACUUAGUAGCCACAAGCUUGUAUUUUUGAGCAUAUGACUAAUUUUAAAAGUUAUACCUCCUGGUACUUAUCCAGUCCUUCUUCAACUUAUUUAGGAUUUUACAUUUUUACAUAAGUCAGAAAAACACCAUGAUUAUGGAUAAAUUUCCAGCCAUAUUCUUUUUCUUCCGGCAUUCACAAAUGCAUCAAAACGUAUUAGAGAAAAGUGAUAAAGGGAUCCAGUAUGGUCUGGGGAUUUGGCUUAGCAGUGUCAUGCUUACCUAGUACAUACACGGCCCUGAGUUUGAUCCCUGGCACUACAGGAACACAGAAACAGCAGUGUGAUUCAGUGGAGGUCACAACCUAUCUGCAAAUCCAAUGGCCACGUCUUUUCAAGUAAACACAUAUCUGACUUUACACUCUAGGGGAAGGAGGGGAUCACGCUAACUUGUUCUGACACACACUCCUCCUCCCCAACUGCUCUAUUUACCAUUCCUGAAACUAAAGCCAGAGGCCACACAGAAUCUGAACCUCUAACCUAUGGACAUAGCCUUGUCUUCACUGAGGCCAUUAGUGUAUUAAAAACACAAUGAAGAGCUGCUGGUUGGGCAAAGUCAUUUUUCCUUUGACAUUUAAUUAUCAGUAGAAAAGUAUUUCUGUCUUAAUACCCACAUUCUGGCAUAUAAUUACUGUAAUAAAGUCUACUUCUUCCCUUUGGGUGACCGCUGCCAGUACCAUGAAAUCAUGGCAAUGGUUGUAAAAAUAAGGGAGGUCACAGCCCUCCCCCACACACAUACACACCCACUCUGCAGCUGAUAUUAAAUAGCUUUGGUGGGAAAAGGCAGACCUUUAAACCCUCUACCAAACUCAAUGCAUUCUGCAUUUAACUUCUUCCUUAAAACAGUUAGUGACGGAAGAAUUCAAAAACUGCAUAUGGCCAUGAGGGAGAAAAGAAGGCGCUCAUACUUAAUUAGCUACUAAGCCCAACUUGGACGAGGCAUAACAACAACCAUUUCUUUGUGCUAACUAUCUUUAAUGAUAUGCAUUACAUGCAUUGGCCUGCCGGCUGCCCAGGCUGUUCCAGCUUCAGUUGUCUUCGCUUCUGGCAAAGGGCAACAAUGUGGAAAGUCUCCAUUUUGACAUUUUGCCACUUUGGCAGAGAGAACUCCUAACAGCACGAGUACCCUCUGAACCUCUUCACUGUGGUCUCAUGGCCACAAGAUAGAUGGUUGAAAUCCAAGCGUGUCACAUACUGGAUGGAUAGUCACCGCAUGCUUUGGACAGCACUCCAGGUUUCGAUUUGUCCUCUCCAGCAUAAGCCAGUCAGAUAUUUUAAUCCGAUCACUUUCAACUCUCUUCUUAUAUAAUUUCCCUGCUCCCAACCAAGACCUGAGUCAAGCCAAUUCAGAAUCAUAAAAAGGACAGACAGGCCUCUGAGGGAAUAGCUUGUCGAUUUUUUUUUUAAAUCCUCUACUUCAUUAUGUAAUGAAAAUAUCCUUAAGAAAGUAUCCGGCUUAAAACGUAAGCUUGAGUUGCUCUAUUAAAAUCGACCUCAGAAAAGAUGCUGCUUGAGAACCAGGAGGCCAAGGUCUCUUCUGCACUUUGGGAUGGGAAGUCACUGCAAUCCAUUGUUCUACAGUGCAGCAUAAAAGCACGUAGGCUCCAGAAAAUGAGAUACAUGUGAAUGAGAACAAAGCACUAGAGUGCACACAACAUAAAGAAGACUCAAAGAUACCACCUUGCUCCAAACAUUGCAACUCAGCUGCCAUGGCCCCUGGCCUCUCAUGUGGAGUUUUGUUUAUAGAAGAAGAUGGGCUUUCCACUGGGGAACCAGCAAGGAGUAAGCCUGGGUGGUUCUGUUCCUUAGGUGGUUCUGUUCCUAGCUUUCAAUCCCCCAGUAACUGCACACAUAUGCCCCAGCAUGUAUGGCUAUGAAUCUUUGGUGACAAUACUGGUCUAUAAUGGCUCCAAAUCAGAAGUGACCUAAAUGUCUGCUAAGGGCACAGUGGAUCAACACAUCGCAUUGUGGCAAAAAAAAAUCACACAACAGAGAACCACACAACAAGGAAAUUAUCAAUCCAGAAUUUUAGCGUGCCACAGCUUGCAAACACAAUGCUGAAUGGAAAAAAAAAUAAGUAAGACAUGAGAAAACACAGAAAAUGUUAUAGCAAAAGGGGAGUAAGCAGAAAUCACCUUCCUUGUUUAGAAAUGCCCAUAUUAGUAGUAAAAUCCCAUAAGAAAGUCAAGGAAACGAUUACGGCAGUCUGAAGCUAUUGGAGGGCAGAGGAUAAAGAAGUUAUAAUUUGGAUUCCAGCUUAUGAAAUAGGGGGAUCUUCCAGGGUCUUAGCAACCUUCUGUUCUCAUCUUUUAAUUUUUUUUCCUUGUAAAUAUUUGACCUUUCAUUUCACAGUUUCAAAACUAAGCAAUAACGACAAAGCCGAAAGUCACUCCCCAAAACCAAAAGUUUGAACAAAAGCACUGUUUCGAUCCAACUUUUUUAUGUUAAUUACAAGGCCCUGGAAGGCAGGGAGAUUAGGAAGGUUGCCCAUCUGUUCUGUGCCCAGAUGGCAUCUGUGGCUCCGGGGAGUGGCUGUCCUGUACUUAGGCACUGAAGCUUGGAGACACCACACCAAACAGAAGUUCUGUUGAUAUUGCCAUGCCCACAGAGUUCAGUCUGCUGGUACCCAACCAACAGGCCCCUGACCUUCGGAGCGUUACCAUCCCUCUCCUCAUGGUAAGAACUCUUCUACUUUGGAAGGAAUAGUAGAGUGGUCUUUCUUCCACGGUGACCUUUUUAGGAACUGUAGAUUCUGGAAUCGCCAAGGCCUGUCUUGUCCCAUCAGGUUUUUCUGUGCUGUGUGCAAACUGGCUCACCUGUCCCUGUGCCUCCAUCCUUUAGUAGAACCCAACUCUUCUCCAGGUUCUUUGAACUCUGUUCUGCAGUUGGGGUCUUGACCCAGGUUCACAAGACAGACCUCAGGCAACACCUACAUCUACAUGUGAAUGCACAUUGCCAGUGGUACCCUUUCCGAUGCAUUCCACCUGACUUGCCAACACCGUGUAGACAGGAUAUACUAUUUCCCUUCCACCCUAAAGCCUAUCAUAUUCUGUACUAGUCACUAAGCUUUGAGCACAAUUUUAAAUCAACUUUCCCAUGAAGAGAACAAAGCAUGAGGGUCAGUUAUAGACUUGCCCUUACGACACUGGAGAAGUCUCUUUGUGAACUCCCUCCCUUGGGAGGGAUAUCUAACUUAUGUCAUUACUGUAAUCAAGUAUCUAAAACAUUUUAUCUUCUUUAGAAAAAAAAAAUCAGUUGCCGAGAAACACAGAGCCAGACAUUGUUCAGCAAAUAAAAUUAUAUUAAGAAAUGUCACAUACGCAGAAGGUCCUAAAUUUGAUCUCCAGCAUUGCAAAAGUAGAUGAGCAAACAAUUCUCAUAUCGUCGUUGGGAAAGACAUCACGUGGGGAUGAGAACGAGAACUCACCCAGGAGUGCUUUACCAGGUUCUCCAAGUAAGGGGCCUUCUUGGAUUUUGAAAACAUUAAAGGAACUGAAUAAAAACAAGGAACCCAUGACUGAACAGAUAAAGCCUAGAAAAAAAAUCAAUGAAAGAGUAACAGCAAGAGCCUAAAGGACCUGGCAAGUGUGAAUUGCUUGUUAUAGGCAGUUACCCAGCAACA